AUUCCAUUAGUUGUCUCUAUGAAUAGUG
RNAcentral lists this small RNA (28 nucleotides) under Plasmodium falciparum 3D7. Its description in RNAcentral is "Pfa-mtR6073". The record is from RNAcentral. Lineage: Eukaryota; Apicomplexa; Aconoidasida; Haemosporida; Plasmodiidae.